RNAcentral lists this transfer RNA (77 nucleotides) under Dysosmobacter segnis. RNAcentral describes it as "tRNA-Asp". It matches the Rfam family "tRNA". From Rfam's summary of the family: Transfer RNA (tRNA) molecules are approximately 80 nucleotides in length. Their secondary structure includes four short double-helical elements and three loops (D, anti-codon, and T loops). The record is from RNAcentral. Lineage: Bacteria; Bacillati; Bacillota; Clostridia; Eubacteriales; Oscillospiraceae. RNAcentral also lists the same sequence under 2 other names.
GGCGUGUUAGCUCAGAAGAGUAGAGCGCCGGCCUGUCACGUCGGAGGUCACGGGUUCAAGUCCCGUACACGUCGCCA